Molecule: ribosomal RNA, 252 nt
Filed under: uncultured bacterium
Lineage: Bacteria
Description: partial 16S ribosomal RNA
Rfam family: Bacterial small subunit ribosomal RNA
Source: RNAcentral
UACGGAGGAUGCGAGCGUUAUCCGGAUUUAUUGGGUUUAAAGGGUACGUAGGCGGGAUGCCAAGUCAGCGGUAAAAAUGCGGUGCUCAACGCCGUCGAGCCGUUGAAACUGGCGUUCUUGAGUGGGCGAGAAGUAUGCGGAAUGCGUGGUGUAGCGGUGAAAUGCAUAGAUAUCACGCAGAACUCCGAUUGCGAAGGCAGCAUACCGGCGCCCUACUGACGCUGAGGCACGAAAGCGUGGGUAUCGAACAGG